RNAcentral lists this ribosomal RNA (137 nucleotides) under Scinax cruentomma (Manaus snouted treefrog). Its description in RNAcentral is "partial 16S large subunit ribosomal RNA". Lineage: Eukaryota; Metazoa; Chordata; Amphibia; Anura; Hylidae. The record is from RNAcentral.
UUUCUAUCUAUAUUAAAGCUUAUUCUAGUAGGAAAGGACCGAAAAAGCAUGGCCCCUGCCUAAAGCAAACCAUCAUUAAAAAUUCCUGCCCACAACUUAACUAAUUAUUAAUCUAUCACGUUUUUCAAGAUCAGAAA